RNAcentral lists this ribosomal RNA (497 nucleotides) under uncultured bacterium. Its description in RNAcentral is "partial 16S ribosomal RNA". It matches the Rfam family "Bacterial small subunit ribosomal RNA", at positions 28 to 507 of the family's 1533-position model. The record is from RNAcentral.
GAUGAACGCUGGCGGCGUGCCUAACACAUGCAAGUCGAGCGGACGGGCGAGAAGCUUGCGGCGUGCAUGUGAGCGGCGGACGGGUGAGUAACACGAGUAUAACCUCCCUAUAAUACUGGUAUAUUUUGGGGAAUCCGGAUAAAACACCAUAUCAUAUUUUGAACCACGUGGGGCAAAAGUGAGAUACGGUGGUUCUGGCUCGUCUAGAUGGAUCCGCGCUGCAUGAGAUGGUUGGUAAGUUAACGGCUUACCAAGGCGACGAUGCAUAGCCGACCUGAGAGGGUGAUCGGCAGCACUGGAACUGAGACACGGUCCAGACUACUACGGGAGGCAGCAGUAGGGAAUGUUAGGCAAUGGGGGAAAGUCUGACGGAGCAACGCGGAGUGAGUGACGAAGGUCUUCGGGUCGUAAAACCCUCUUAUGAGGGAAGAACAUAUGUGGACGAAGACGAAGACAGCUUGACGGUAACUAAUAAGAAAGCAACGGCUAACUACGUG